UACGGGAGGCAGCAGUGAGGAAUCUUGCCCAAUGGACGAAAGUCUGAGGCAGCAACGCCGCGUGGGCGAUGAAGGCCUUCGGGUUGUAAAGCCCUUUUCUGGGGGACGAGGAAGGACGGUACCUCAGGAAUAAGUCACGGCUAACUACGUGCCAGCAGCCGCGGUAAUACGUAGGUGGCAAGCGUUAUCCGGAUUUACUGGGCGUAAAGCGCGUGCAGGCGGUUUCGUAAGUCGGACGUGAAAGCUCCUGGCUUAACUGGGAGACGCCGUUCGAUACUGCGGGACUUGAGGUCGGGAGAGGGACGUGGAAUUCCCGGUGUAGUGGUGGAAUGCGUAGAUAUCGGGAGGAACACCAGUGGCGAAGGCGGCGUCCUGGCCCGCACCUGACGCUAAGACGCGAAAGCGUGGGUAGCGAACGGGAUUAGAUACCCCGGUAGUCCACGCCGUAAACGGUGGAUACUAGGUGUUGGUGGCUAUCGUCAUCAGUGCCGUAGCUAACGCGUUAAGUAUCCCGCCUGGGGACUACGGCCGCAAGGCUAAAACUCAAAUGAAUUGACGGA
Molecule: ribosomal RNA, 560 nt
Filed under: uncultured bacterium
Lineage: Bacteria
Description: bacterial SSU rRNA
Rfam family: Bacterial small subunit ribosomal RNA
Source: RNAcentral